GUAGGGGGCAAGCGUUGUCCGGAUUCAUUGGGCGUAAAGAGCUCGUAGGCGGCUCAGCAAGUCGGUCGUGAAAGCCCGGGGCUCAACCCCGGGACGCCGAUCGAAACUGCUGUGGCUAGGGUUCGGUAGAGGAGAGUGGAAUUCCCGGUGUAGCGGUGAAAUGCGCAGAUAUCGGGAGGAACACCAGUAGCGAAGGCGGCUCUCUGGGCCGACACCGACGCUGAGGAGCGAAAGCUAGGGGAGCAAACAGGGAUUAGAUACCCUGGUAGUCCUAGCCGUAAACGUUGGGCACUAGGUGUGGCGGACUCAUUGACGUCUGCCGUGCCGCAGCUAACGCAUUAAGUGCCCCCCGCCUGGGAGUACGGUCGCAAGGCUA
This 376-nucleotide ribosomal RNA is filed under the name uncultured organism. RNAcentral's name for it is "partial 16S ribosomal RNA". It matches the Rfam family "Bacterial small subunit ribosomal RNA", at positions 527 to 896 of the family's 1533-position model. The record is from RNAcentral.